CCCAGCACCAUGUCUGCCUUCAUGCUGCCAUGAUGACAAUGGACUAGACCUCAGAACUGUCUUCAUGGACACCUUCAAAACCAUAGCAGUCACCUUACCUAUAACAGUGCCAUGUGACAACACUGGGUGAUCCAACUUCAAUGCCUGAAGAGUGCUUCUGCCCCGCCCCCUCUACAAUCUGCAAAUUCGGAAAUCACUCAGGUGGGAGAGAGAAGAGGAAUGCACACCGUAGCUGAGAACCUCCAUGAACUCACAUAAAAAGCCAGAUGCAGUGGUGUGGACCACUCCUAUGGCCAGAUGGGAGGUCAAGAGAAGAGAGUAAAUGAGAAGCUUGCAGACCAGCUAGCCUAAAGCAGGAAGUGUGGCAAACAGCAACACACCAGAGAGACCCUGUCUAAGCUCAACAGGGAAGAAGGAGAGCACCAAAGCCAAGCAAAGAGUCCUCUGACAUCACCCACAUACCAGCCUCGAUCAAGCCUUGAUCAAGCAAGCAGACACCCGGGUGUUGACAGUACACGCUGCACAGCACGUCCAAGGGAGAAGAAAGAGCCCCAAGCCCCACUCAGCUACAACUCUGACCGAUUGGAAACAGCUGGUUGGAACAGUAUGAAAAGUACCAGGCCACUUGGUUGGCUUCCCACGCAGAUGCAUACAUAAUCAAGAAUUCCAGAACUGUGGGAAACCCUCCCUGUUCAGGAAAGACACAUGUGGCAGCUGAGUAGUGGACUGGCCAGAAAGACUCCGGGAAGAGGGGGAUGUGACUGCCCCAGCCAAGGGAGUCAAUCCCUAUUGCAUCCCAGCCGCACUCAUGGGGUAUGCUGGUGGCACAAAAACCAUCAGGCUCCACAGGAAUGACCAUUGAAGACUGGGGAGUGUAGCUCAGCUGGGAGAACCUAAUCAGUACCACAUCAACCAGUCCAGGAGCCCAGCCAUGGAACCGUACCACUAACAGUUGGAGUUUUGCCCCUAAGGAGCUGACUGGAUGAGGCUCAACCACAUAAUGGAAGGUCAGCUGCUUUGCUUGAAAUCUACAGUAUGUCUGGCGUGAAGACUUACCUGACAUGCACAAGCCCUAUGUUCAAUCACCAGUACCAUAAAGUAAACAAAUAAAUGCUGUCAGAGUGAUGUCUACACCAGUACCUGGCUGAACAUUGGAGCACCAUGAUCUAAUGAAGUUGACACACACAGUUGAUCAUCACAGAUUGUAACAUCUCCAAGCCUCAAUUUCCUAAACAUUUAAUGACAUUGAUCAUUGAUGUAUAAAGUGACAACGUGACAGCUCCAAGGCAUGGUUCAGAAGCAACUAAAGAGAGAAAGGGUUUAUUUGGGCUUACCGUUUAAGAGGAUACAGUCCAUUGUGAUGGAGACUGCUCAACGGCAGGAAUGUGUGAGGUGGCUGGUCCCACUUGAUGGUCUCAGCAAUGGGAUAGCACAGACUCAUCAAGCCAUGAAGUGGGGUGAUUGAAAACUUGGGGGAGACCAGCAAGCGCUUCUGUCAUUGACUUGCUGGGGCUCAAGUCACCUACCAGCAUCCAUGACCCAAACAAACACCAGACUGUAAGAGGAAGAAAGAGGUUGUAAUUGAGUGUCCAGAAGGUCUCUGCUUGUUCCCAGAAAAAGACUUGAAGAUUUCUUCCAGUGUUUAGCCUGUGCCUCCUCAUUCUCAACAUGGAUCCAAAACCUCUCAGCCUACCCUUUGGUGGAGGGGCUGGUUUGGGAGUCUGUAAGCAUGAGUUUUCUGGCCUGUCAGGGUCCCACCACCCUUGAGCCCCAGAUAAACACACAGACGCCAUAUUAAUUAUAAAAUUGCUGGCCAGAUGGCUAGGGCUUCUUAUUGGCUAGCUCUGUCUUAACUAUUAACCCAUUUCUACUAAUCUAUGUAUUUCCACGUGGUCUUGGUUUACCGGAGAAGGGUCCAGACCUGCUACUCCUUUGGCGGGCUGCAUGGCGAUGGCCUCUGCCUACAUUUCGCCAAGAUUCUCCUCAUCUCCUAGCCCCACCUAUCUCCCUGCGUCUAUUGGCCACAGUGUUUUAUUCAUCAACCAAUAAGAGAAACAUAUACAGAAGGACAACCCCCUCAGGAGUCAGGCUCCUUCUUUUCCAUUCUCUGCCAUUCUGAGCUUUCCAGCAUCCAUUUCCUGUAGGACAAGCUUUGUAACUCAGGUCUCCUUUCUUGGGGCGUGUGCCAGAAGUUAGGCCACUCCUGUAGUUCUAACCAUGUGGUUGAAAAAAAAAAAAUGAUCAGGGCUGGCUAUGUGACUAUUUCAGGCAACACUUUCUUAGAAGCAGAAAGGAGUUAAUUCCCAGCACCCUAAUAAAACCAGCAUGGUGCAGCAUACCUGUAAUGCCAUUGUAACUUCAUCAUCUCCUUAAAGACAGUCUCUCUGACUACAGGUAUAUUCUGAGGCCCUGGAGGUUAGAACUCUAGCAUGUAAGCUUGUGGAGAACACCAUUCAGCCUCUGAUAAGUGUUCUUGGGCCUUGUCCCAAGGAAAUCUAAAGCUCUUUGCUUAUGGAACCCACUGUGGACCUACUGAGGCAGUGCCUGGAGGCUUGUAAGUUUAAGUUCUGAGGGGAGUAACUAUGUGCAUUGGCCAUCCAAUGACUUGGGACACCCAGUGUUAAAUACAUCCCUGUGGCAUCUUCAAUUACCAUUGUGGAUCAUGAGCACCAGAAUGCAUGGAAAACCAACACAGUAGGAAAGACCCAGUAGGAGUAGCAAGGAGAGAGGGAAACUAGCAGAUGGGACACCUCACUUGAAGUUUCAAAGCUGGAAACUAGACCAGAGAUGUUGCUUGAAGGGGAAAAAGUGCUAAAGCUCUGGGUACCAUGCAGGAGGAGAGGAGCAUCGGAGGGGGAGAAGCUGGACAAUCUCUAGGGCAGCAGCUGAUACUUCUCCCUACACCAUCUCCACCAUCCCUGACUAUGGGCUAAAGAAAGCAGGGUGGGGUACCAGGCAUGGAGAAUGAGGAGAUUUAGGUGUCUUCAUUUAAGAAGGGUAAGUGUUGGGAGGCACGUGGUUCAAUUGUCUCGGAAUUGAUUUUUGGGAAUAAAUUUCAGUCCCUAGAUUCACCUGAUGAUGCUAUUUGGGGGUGUAGCCUUCAGGAUGUAACAAGGGUUAGGUGGGGUCAUGAGGGAGGAGGUUACUUGAUGCAUCAGUGGCUUUCUAAGAAGAGACUGGAGUUAGAACACACAGUCUUUCUCACCGUGUGCUGCCAUGAAUCACCUCAGGGUGCUACAGAGCGUCCCUCCAGCCAGGACUCACCAGACACAGCCACCACAGCUGCCCCUUGUUCAGGGGUCUCUACCACCACCACGGCCAGCAGAGCAAUAGUCUUCAGGAGGCAAAGGGUAGUUCAUUUCAAUAUGACUCAGUCGAUGGUGUUGGUUCAAACUUUGGGAGUCUGACUUCAGGUAGUUUACUUUGGCCAUAUUUAAGCACAGCACAAUUUAGUGAAGACUUUCUUGGUGAUAAUGAACUCAAUCCAUGUGUACAACAAAGCUUAAGACAUGACUAUGUUAUGCCUUUUUCUUCUGUAAAGUACAUGUGACAUCUUCUAUAAAGAUGGGUCCUACGACUGACUACAUGUGAUACCUUCCAUAAAAGUCAUAGAUUGACAAACUCACCACAAGGUCUGGUGAAAGAUCUGGUGUGGUCUCAGCCAUACAGAUAGUGCAAAAGUCACUAAGCUAUUAACUAUGUCUGCUCCCAGCCUCCUGGAUGGGUUAUGCAUCCCUUCCUUCGAAAGAACAACCCUGUGCGUUUAACAUCCCUGGUUCCCCUAGCACUUUCUUGUGAACACAGGGACCUCUGUGCCUCCUACACCAUUGAAGAACAUUUGUUCCAAUCAACAACUCCAGAUGUAGUGCCAUAGUUCAAA
Cricetulus griseus (Chinese hamster) is the source of this 3880-nucleotide non-coding RNA. NCBI's taxonomy places the organism in Eukaryota, Metazoa, Chordata, Mammalia, Rodentia, Cricetidae. The record is from RefSeq and is a predicted model, not a curated record.